GGAGGUGGGCAGGCACCUGGUGGUCCUCACGGUCUUCAAAACCGAAGCGGCCGGGACACUCGGCCGGGCGGGUUCGAUUCCCGUGCACCUCCGCCA
Molecule: transfer RNA, 96 nt
Filed under: Micromonosporaceae bacterium
Lineage: Bacteria; Bacillati; Actinomycetota; Actinomycetes; Micromonosporales; Micromonosporaceae
Description: tRNA-Sec
Rfam family: Selenocysteine transfer RNA
Source: RNAcentral